RNAcentral lists this ribosomal RNA (1084 nucleotides) under fungal endophyte. RNAcentral's name for it is "eukaryotic LSU rRNA". The stretch from base 514 to 1084 matches the Rfam family "Eukaryotic large subunit ribosomal RNA", at positions 1 to 580 of the family's 3401-position model. Lineage: Eukaryota; Fungi. The record is from RNAcentral.
UCAUUAAAGAGUAAGGGUGCUCAGCGCCCGACCUCCAACCCUCUGUUGUUAAAACUACCUUGUUGCUUUGGCGGGACCGCUCGGUCUCGAGCCGCCGGGGCCUUAACCGGUCCAGGCGAGCGCCCGCCAGAGUUAAACCAAACUCUUGUUAUAAACCGGUCGUCUGAGUAAAAGUUUUUAAUAAAUCAAAACUUUCAACAACGGAUCUCUUGGUUCUCGCAUCGAUGAAGAACGCAGCGAAAUGCGAUAAGUAAUGUGAAUUGCAGAAAUUCAGUGAAUCAUCGAAUCUUUGAACGCACAUUGCGCCCCUUGGUAUUCCGAGGGGCAUGCCUGUUCGAGCGUCAUUACACCACUCAAGCACUGCUUGGUAUUGGGCGUCCGUCUCCCGCAAGGGGGGCGCGCCUCAAAGACCUCGGCGGAGCCUCACCGGCUUUAGGCGUAGUAGAAUUUAUUCGAACGUCUUUUAACGGAGAGGACUCCUCAGCCGACCGAAACCUUUUAUUUUUUCUAGGUUGACCUCGGAUCAGGUAGGGAUACCCGCUGAACUUAAGCAUAUCAAUAAGCGGAGGAAAAGAAACCAACAGGGAUUGCCCUAGUAACGGCGAGUGAAGCGGCAACAGCUCAAAUUUGAAAGCUAGCCUUCGGGUUCGCAUUGUAAUUUGUAGAGGAUGCUUUGGGGCAGCCGCCUGUCUAAGUUCCUUGGAACAGGACGUCAUAGAGGGUGAGAAUCCCGUAUGUGACAGGACAUGGCACCCUAUGUAAAGCUCCUUCGACGAGUCGAGUUGUUUGGGAAUGCAGCUCUAAAUGGGAGGUAAAUUUCUUCUAAAGCUAAAUACCGGCGAGAGACCGAUAGCGCACAAGUAGAGUGAUCGAAAGAUGAAAAGCACUUUGGAAAGAGAGUUAAAAAGCACGUGAAAUUGUUGAAAGGGAAGGGCAAGCAAUCAGACUUGUUUAAGCUGUUCGGCCGGUCUUCUGACCGGUUUACUCAGCUUGAGCAGGCCAGCAUCAGUUUCGGCGGUCGGAUAAAGGCCUAGGGAAUGUGGCCCUCACUUCGGUGAGGGUGUUAUAGCCCUGGGUGUAAUAC